RNAcentral lists this ribosomal RNA (401 nucleotides) under uncultured bacterium. RNAcentral's name for it is "bacterial SSU rRNA". It matches the Rfam family "Bacterial small subunit ribosomal RNA", at positions 359 to 775 of the family's 1533-position model. The record is from RNAcentral.
GAAUAUUGCACAAUGGGCGCAAGCCUGAUGCAGCGACGCCGCGUGAGCGAAGAAGGUUUUCGGAUCGUAAAGCUCUGUCCUUUGGGAAGAAAAAAAUGACGGUACCAAAGGAGGAAGCCCCGGCUAACUACGUGCCCGCAGCCGCGGUAAUACGUAGGGGGCGAGCGUUGUCCGGAUUUACUGGGCGUAAAGGGUGAGUAGGCGGUAACGUGUGUCAGAUGUUUAAUCUAUGGGCUCAACCCAUAUCAGCAUUUGAAACUGCGUAACUUGAGUGCAGGAGAGGUAAGUGGAAUUCCUAGUGUAGCGGUGAAAUGCGUAGAUAUUAGGAGGAACACCAGUGGCGAAGGCGACUUACUGGACUGUAACUGACGCUGAGACACGAAAGCGUGGGGAGCGAACAG